RNAcentral lists this ribosomal RNA (301 nucleotides) under uncultured bacterium. RNAcentral's name for it is "partial 16S ribosomal RNA". It matches the Rfam family "Bacterial small subunit ribosomal RNA", at positions 509 to 807 of the family's 1533-position model. The record is from RNAcentral.
CAGUAGCCGCGGUAAUACGAAGGGUGCAAGCGUUACUCGGAAUUACUGGGCGUAAAGCGUGCGUAGGUGGUGGUUUAAGUCCGUUGUGAAAGCCCUGGGCUCAACCUGGGAAUUGCAGUGGAUACUGGAUCACUAGAGUGUGGUAGAGGAUAGUGGAAUUUCCGGUGUAGCAGUGAAAUGCGUAGAGAUGUGGAGGAAUACCGAUGGCGAAGGCAGCCCCCUGGGCCAAUACUGACGCUCAUGCACGAAAGCGUGGGGAGCAAACAGGAUUAGAUACCCCGGUAGUCCCUGUCUCUUAUAC